GAUGAACGAUUCUUAAUAUUGUCAUAAUUCUACACUAGAACAGAGAUAAAACGUCUCGGAGUCACGACUUUGAUAAUUUAUUACAAUAAAGCACGCUUGUAAAACGUGCAAUCUUUCCCUCUCAAUAUGAAGAUCACACUGAUUUUAUUUGCUGUUUGCUUCAUUGGUAAGUGUAUUUCUUUUUACAAAGUUUGUGUAUAUGGUCCGAAGUUAUUUAUUGCUUCUUGCUACAUUUGUAAUUUCUGACAAUUUCUUGGAGACUGUUUAAAACUAUGGUAUGACUACUAGUCAGUAAGUGGUGUCGAAUGACGAGAAUAAAUGAUGAGGCUUUCUAAGUAAGUGUUUUUGUAGUUGAAAUAAUAGUUUCCGAUGGUUUUUGUCUAAUUUCUGGGACGUCAGCUUCCAUGUUUUCUAUAAUUAUAAAUCUCUGAGGUUCUACGAUCCCGGCAAGCCGUAAAAAGUCCGUCAGAUGUCAGAACAAUUUAGAUUUCGACUAUAGUAAUACUAAAAUUUAUACCUACCAUUAUACAUUUUUUGACCAAAAUUUAUCAUAAAAAAACAUAUUGAUUGUAUAAGAAUUAGACUAAAAGUAUUCUGUUCAUUUAAUUUUGUAUUUUACAAUAUUAACUAUUUAAAGGGUUAACUGCAGUUACAAAUGAUCACCAGGACUUUUCGCCACCAGUGUCCGUGAUUAGGGUGGCAUCAAUUCGCUAAGGUUUAUGAAAAUGUUGACACAUAAGAUGACCCAUAGCUGUUAAUCUAUGUGUCAUUUUGUCUCUUUGUGGAGAGUUGUCUCGUUGGCAUUCAACAUAUUCUCUUUUCCCAAUGGCAAUAAACAUUGGCCUCCUUUCAUCUGAGAGGCCUGCCUCGCUUAUUUAUGGUUUAUUUUGUUCUUUCUACCUAAAUCUCCAUGAACUACUCGCCACUGGACAUGUAUCAUACACUAAUUAAUUAUCUCUUUACUUUUUGUGAUAAUAGUGGUGAAUGGGGAAACUUGUCCCGGAGGUCUUGUGACAGAAUGUGUUCACACGUUGUGUGAUGACGUGUCAGAACUACACUGUGUUGACAACAACUGUGUGUGUACUUUAACUGGAUCAAG
Molecule: long non-coding RNA, 1099 nt
Filed under: Mytilus galloprovincialis (Mediterranean mussel)
Lineage: Eukaryota; Metazoa; Mollusca; Bivalvia; Mytilida; Mytilidae
Source: RNAcentral